ACUCCUACGGGAGGCAGCAGUGGGGAAUAUUGCACAAUGGGCGCAAGCCUGAUGCAGCCAUGCCGCGUGUAUGAAGAAGGCCUUCGGGUUGUAAAGUACUUUCAGCGGGGAGGAAGGUGCUGUGGUUAAUAACCGCAGCAAUUGACGUUACCCGCAGAAGAAGCACCGGCUAACUCCGUGCCAGCAGCCGCGGUAAUACGGAGGGUGCAAGCGUUAAUCGGAAUUACUGGGCGUAAAGCGCACGCAGGCGGUCUGUUAAGUCAGAUGUGAAAUCCCCGGGCUCAAGCCUGGGAACUGCAUCUGAUACUGGCAGGCUUGAGUCUCGUAGAGGGGGUAGAAUUCCAGGUGGU
This 350-nucleotide ribosomal RNA is filed under the name uncultured bacterium. Its description in RNAcentral is "bacterial SSU rRNA". It matches the Rfam family "Bacterial small subunit ribosomal RNA", at positions 335 to 677 of the family's 1533-position model. The record is from RNAcentral.